RNAcentral lists this small RNA (812 nucleotides) under Pan troglodytes (chimpanzee). RNAcentral's name for it is "retained intron". Lineage: Eukaryota; Metazoa; Chordata; Mammalia; Primates; Hominidae. The record is from RNAcentral.
GGGUGGCAGGGUCCUUGGAGACGGAGACUCAGAUCAAAGCCCCGGCCGCUCACUGUGCUUCUCUCCUCCCCACCCAGCCCCUUUGAUGCCAAGAAUCCGUUCCUGGCUGCAGUCACCACCAACCGGAAGCUGAACCAGGGAACCGAGCGCCACCUCAUGCACCUGGAAUUGGACAUCUCAGACUCCAAAAUCAGGUAUGAAUCUGGGGACCACGUGGCUGUGUACCCAGCCAACGACUCUGCUCUCGUCAACCAGCUGGGCAAAAUCCUGGGUGCCGACCUGGACAUUGUCAUGUCCCUGAACAACCUGGAUGAGGAGUCCAACAAGAAGCACCCAUUCCCGUGCCCUACGUCCUACCGCACGGCCCUCACCUACUACCUGGACAUCACCAACCCGCCGCGCACCAACGUGCUGUACGAGCUGGCGCAGUACGCCUCGGAGCCCUCGGAGCAGGAGCUGCUGCGCAAGAUGGCCUCCUCCUCUGGCGAGGGCAAGGAGCUGUACCUGAGCUGGGUGGUGGAGGCCCGGAGGCACAUCCUGGCCAUCCUGCAGGACUGCCCGUCCCUGCGGCCCCCCAUCGACCACCUGUGUGAGCUGCUGCCGCGCCUGCAGGCCCGCUACUACUCUAUCGCCUCAUCCUCCAAGGUCCACCCCAACUCUGUGCACAUCUGUGCGGUGGUUGUGGAGUACGAGACCAAGGCCGGCCGCAUCAACAAGGGCGUGGCCACCAACUGGCUGCGGGCCAAGGAGCCUGCCGGGGAGAACGGCGGCCGUGCACUGGUGCCCAUGUUCGUGCGCAAGUCCCAGUUCCG